Molecule: long non-coding RNA, 1080 nt
Filed under: Marmota monax (woodchuck)
Lineage: Eukaryota; Metazoa; Chordata; Mammalia; Rodentia; Sciuridae
Source: RNAcentral
CAGGCAGGGCUAGGCUGAUGGGGUGGUCUGCUGCUCUGGCCUAUUUCUGGGACUCCAUCGGCUGGUUCCCAGCUCUUUCUAGUGGGGCAGAGACCCCAGUGCCCCAAUCCAGCGGGCCCAGGGGCAGGCAGCAGGCGUCUUGGUGUUAAGCUCUGGCCUCUGCAUUCCCACCUCCUCCUCCCUACCCCAGUGCAGCUGCCAGCUGGAUCUUCUGUGGUACUGCACACCUUGUUUUGCCCGGGAACUUGCAAAUGGCCUCAAGCCCAGACCCCAUGGGCUUUCAUUUAAGUCCCAGUUUUCCCUAACUUCCUCCUCUCACCUGGAUUGUUUCCCCCUCAUCACCACCACACAGUUUAUCUUUGAGUGUGAACUCCUGAUCUUCCUCAGGAUCAUCUUUCUGAUCUCUGACCAGCCAAACCUGCCCACCCCUCAAAGUAUAGCUAAAAUUCCACUCCCUCCCCAAGCUGCAUAACCCCUUAUGUGUUCUAGUACUCUCAGUUUGAUGCUAUCUGAGUGGAGUCUUCUCAACAGAAGUUUAAAUAAGUUAGUUUAAAUAAAUUUAACAGUUUAUAUAUGUUAGUCCCUUUUUAAUGAGAAGGGGCAGGGCCUGUAAUCCCAGCAUUCACUUGAGUGUGGGAGUUUAAGACUAGCCUGGACAACACAGGGAGGCUAUCUCAAAAUAAAAGUGGAAACAAAUGAGGAAGCAAAUCCUUUGCCAGGCCAUGUAUCCCAGUUUAUGAAUUGAAAAAUGUCUCUUCCCUGAUAACUCCCCUUCCUGUGCCUUGUGUCUCUUACUAGAUGGUUACUCAAAACUUCUAAAUCUUUUGAAAUUGUGCUGGGGAAAACUCAAAUGUUUGGAUAAAAUGGAAGUAUACUAGAGGCUGGGGCUGGGGCUCAGUGGUAGAGCACUGGCCUAGCAUGUGUGCAAGGUGCUGGGUUCAAUCCUCAGCAUCACAUACAAAUAAAUAAAUAAAAUAAAGGUAUUGUGGGGCUGGGGUUAUGGCUCAGUGGUACAGUGCUCACCUGUCAUGCAUGGGGCACUGGGUUUGAUCCUCAGUACCACAUAAAUAUAAAAUAAAG